RNAcentral lists this ribosomal RNA (584 nucleotides) under Triodiomyces aff. triodiae EXF-6430. Its description in RNAcentral is "eukaryotic LSU rRNA". It matches the Rfam family "Eukaryotic large subunit ribosomal RNA", at positions 91 to 657 of the family's 3401-position model. The record is from RNAcentral. Lineage: Eukaryota; Fungi; Basidiomycota; Ustilaginomycetes; Ustilaginales; Ustilaginaceae.
GAGUGAGAGGGAAGAGCCCAAGAUUGAAAGCUGGCGUCUUCGGCGUCCGCAUUGUAAUCUCAAGAAGUGUUUUCCGCUUCGGACCAUGCCUAAGUCCCUUGGAAAAGGGCAUCAUAGAGGGUGAUAAUCCCGUACAUGGCAUGGAGCGCCCGAAGCUUUGUGAUACGCUUUCUAAGAGUCGAGUUGUUUGGGAAUGCAGCUCAAAAUGGGUGGUAAAUGCCAUCUAAGGCUAAAUAUUGGGGAGAGACCGAUAGCGAACAAGUACAGUGAUGGAAAGAUGAAAAGAACUUUGAAAAGAGAGUUAAACAGUACGUGAAAUUGCCAAAAGGGAAGGGUAGGAGGUCAGAGAUGCGGCCUAGGAUUCAGCCUUGCUUUUGCUUGGUGUUUUUCCUAGGUUGCAGGCCAACGUCGGUUUUGGGCACUGGAGAAGGGUGGAAGGAAUGUGGCACCUCUCGGGGUGUGUUAUAGCCUUCUACUGGAUACAGCGACCGAGACCGAGGACAGCAGCGUACUCGCAAGAGCGGGCCUUCGGGCACCUUUACGCUUAGGGCGUUGGCAUAAUGGCCCUCUACCACCCGUCUUGA